CUGGUCUGAGGAGGGAGGACAACUGCAUAAUUUACCGGACCCAAAGUGACAUUAGAGUGUUUUGGUGAAUCACACAGACUUAAGAGGGCUCGUAACUCAAGCUGCCUUGUUGCCACUUGACAAUUAACC
Long non-coding RNA from Trematomus bernacchii (emerald rockcod), 129 nucleotides. RefSeq lists it as uncharacterized. Lineage: Eukaryota; Metazoa; Chordata; Actinopteri; Perciformes; Nototheniidae. The record is from RefSeq and is a predicted model, not a curated record. The transcript has 3 exons.